Molecule: ribosomal RNA, 327 nt
Filed under: uncultured Acidobacteriota bacterium
Lineage: Bacteria; Pseudomonadati; Acidobacteriota
Description: bacterial SSU rRNA
Rfam family: Bacterial small subunit ribosomal RNA
Source: RNAcentral
AAUCAACGCUGGCGGCGUGCCUAACACAUGCAAGUCGAACGAGAAAGCGGGGGCAACUCUGCGAGUAAAGUGGCAGACGGGUGAGUAACACGUGAACAACCUACCCUUGAGAGGGGAAUAACACCGCGAAAGCGGUGCUAAAACCGCAUAACAUCCCACGGUUGCAUGACUGAGGGAUCAAAAGCGCAAGCUACUUGAGGAGGGGUUCGCGGCUGAUUAGCUAGUUGGUGAGGUAACGGCCCACCAAGGCAACUAUCAGUAGCCGGCCUGAGAGGGCGGACGGCCACACUGGAACUGGGACACGGUCCAGACUCCUACGGGAGGCAG